This 592-nucleotide ribosomal RNA is filed under the name uncultured bacterium. Its description in RNAcentral is "bacterial SSU rRNA". It matches the Rfam family "Bacterial small subunit ribosomal RNA", at positions 802 to 1398 of the family's 1533-position model. The record is from RNAcentral.
GUAAACGAUGGAUACUCGCGGUGCGCCUUUAUGGUGCGUCGCUUAGCGAAAGCGUUAAGUAUCCCACCUGGGGAGUACGCCGGCAACGGUGAAACUCAAAGGAAUUGACGGGGGCCCGCACAAGCGGAGGAACAUGUGGUUUAAUUCGAUGAUACGCGAGGAACCUUACCCGGGCUUGAAUUGCGACUGACUGCAUCAGAGAUGAUGUUUCCAGCAAUGGCAGUCGUGAAGGUGCUGCAUGGUUGUCGUCAGCUCGUGCCGUGAGGUGUCGGCUUAAGUGCCAUAACGAGCGCAACCCUUUUCCCUGUUUGCCAUCGGGUAAUGCCGGGCACUCCAGGGAUACUGCCAUCGUAAGAUGUGAGGAAGGUGGGGAUGACGUCAAAUCAGCACGGCCCUUACGUCCGGGGCUACACACGUGUUACAAUGGGCGGCACAGAGGGCAGCGACCGCGCGAGCGGCAGCCAAUCCCGAAAUCCGCUCUCAGUUCGGACUGGAGUCUGCAACCCGACUCCACGAAGCUGGAUUCGCUAGUAAUCGCGCAUCAGCCAUGGCGCGGUGAAUACGUUCCCGGGCCUUGUACACACCGCCCGUC